AUGAAUGAAUAAAUAAGGUUAGUUCAUGUUAACUCACAGUGCAUUAAAUAAUGUUAACAAGCACAACUUUUAAUAAUAAUUUUAAUAAUGCAUUAGUUCAUGUUGGACUAUAAUUAAUAAAUGCUUUGCAAGAUUAUUUAUACUUGGUUAAUGCUUGUAAAAACAUUAUCUAAUGGACCAUUUUUUUAAAGUGUUAUCGAAAUAAGUUAUUAAAACUACUAUGUUUAAAAAUAUGUUGAACAAAAAAUUCUCUCUGUUAAAAAAAACAGUUGGGAAAUAUUUUUCGAACAAUUAAAAUUUCACGCUAAUAAUUUUCACUUCAACUUUUCUUACCAUCUCCAGCCACUCUCUGAAUCUGAGUCGCAUCGCCGUUGAAACUCUUCUGGCUCUGGGAGGUGGAGGACAUUUGUUUUCUGGGAGGUUGUUUGUGUCCGUUGCAUUUUGCAUGUGGGUUGCAUUUCUGUUGUGCUGCAGGACGAGAUGUCGAAACUUGUGGUGAAGAAGCAGGAGGUGAACAGGUCACAGCGCACCCAUUGACUACUGGAGAAGUGCCAUUGGGAAGACAGGGCUUCACUGAAAGGUUUGCCGGUGGCCUUUGGUUGUGUUGUGUGAACAGGACUGUCCUGCCCUCCGUCCUGCUGUUGGACAUCCAUGGCUUCUGUCUCCAUUUGAGACGCUUGACUCGAACUCUGAAAACACAUCCAGCAAGAGCUCAUAUGCAUGAAAUCAGCCUGGCUGUUUGUGGGGUAGAGGUCAUAAUGAAAACCUCUAACAUGGUGACUUUUAUCCUCUAAAACUCCAUGAGAAAGAAAAUCUGACUUAAAGUGCGCAAAACAUGCUCGUCUGCUGCUAGGAACUGGCCUGAAGUGGUUUGGGAAGUUGACUAAUAUGACUAACAUCCUGCUGAGUCAAACCAAAUUGACAAUAUCAUCAAAGCCCAGGAGUCAUAAUAAACAUUUUAGAUAGUUGUUUGCUGUUUUAAGGAUCUGCCCGUGUCUUACCUGUAGGGUUUUAUUGUUCUGUCUCCAGUUAAAAGCUUGUCCCCGUCUGACCCUGUUUUUGAGUCAGCUUAUAUGUCCACCUUUCCCGUUACUCAUUUGUUUUUUCAUAUUUUAUUGAAUCUGCUUGCAUUUUAAUCUUUGUUUUAUUACAUUUGUAGCUUGUCUUAUCAAUACACCAAGACUAAUUCCUUGUUCAUGUACGCCCAUUAAAGGGCUUCUGAAUCUGAC
Danio rerio (zebrafish) is the source of this 1229-nucleotide non-coding RNA. The record is from RefSeq and is a predicted model, not a curated record. NCBI's taxonomy places the organism in Eukaryota, Metazoa, Chordata, Actinopteri, Cypriniformes, Danionidae.